This 324-nucleotide ribosomal RNA is filed under the name uncultured bacterium. RNAcentral's name for it is "bacterial SSU rRNA". It matches the Rfam family "Bacterial small subunit ribosomal RNA", at positions 8 to 334 of the family's 1533-position model. The record is from RNAcentral.
AGGGUUUGAUUAUGGCUCAGGAUGAACGCUGGCGGCGCGCCUAACACAUGCAAGUCGAACGGCACCCCUCCUCGGAGGGAAGCGAGUGGCGAACGGCUGAGUAACACGUGGAGAACCUGCCCCCUCCUCGGGGAUAGCCGCGGGAAACCGCGGGUAACACCCGACGACCCCGGAGCCGCGCAUGCGGCGCCGGGCAAAUCUCCGGAGGGAGGGGAUGGCUCCGCGGCCCAUCAGGUAGACGGCGGGGUGACGGCCCACCGUGCCGACAACGGGUAGCCGGGUUGAGAGACCGACCGGCCAGAUUGGGACUGAGACACGGCCCAG